RNAcentral lists this unclassified non-coding RNA (223 nucleotides) under Hevea brasiliensis (rubber tree). Lineage: Eukaryota; Viridiplantae; Streptophyta; Magnoliopsida; Malpighiales; Euphorbiaceae. The record is from RNAcentral.
GAAAGGUAUGGAGGUCUGAGGUAUUGCAAAAGCUAGUUGUCACAAAGAUUGGAUGGCAAGUGUAGUGAACUUUAAACUUCUCUUUAUCUUGUUUUGCAUAUAUAAUGUUGAUACUCUUGAGUGUUUUGCCUUAAAUGUUUCUCUGCAUUUGGUCUAAUGCAGCAUAUUAGCUGUUGUACCAUUGCAUGGGAAGUUAUCAUCCGUCAAUACUCUGUCAUAUGGU